RNAcentral lists this non-coding RNA (23 nucleotides) under Cricetulus griseus (Chinese hamster). Lineage: Eukaryota; Metazoa; Chordata; Mammalia; Rodentia; Cricetidae. The record is from RNAcentral.
UAGGGUUCUUCCCAAUAGAUAGG